This 1958-nucleotide long non-coding RNA is filed under the name Mus musculus (house mouse). RNAcentral describes it as "long non-coding RNA chr17:22658940-22660898". Lineage: Eukaryota; Metazoa; Chordata; Mammalia; Rodentia; Muridae. The record is from RNAcentral.
AGAUAACGAUACAAGGAAUCAAAGAAACAAAGAGUUGGUUCUUUGAUAAAAUCAACUAGACAUACAAACCCUUAUCCAAAAUAACUAUAAGACCAAGAGAAAAUAUCCAAAUGAACAAAGUCAGAAACAAAAUGGGGACAUAAUGACAAGCCCAGAGGAAAUCCAGAGACUCAUAACACAAAUUAAAGCCGUCUACUCCACCAAACUGAAGAAAAAUAAAUGAAAUGGAUAAUUUUAUCAAUAGGUACCAAACUCCAAAGGGAAAUCAACAUCAGAUUAAAAAAUAGCCUUAUUUAACUCCUAGUUAAAUAAAAGCACUCAUUAAAACACUCCCAACAACAACAACAAAACUAGCAAAUAAACCAAACCAAACUAAAACAUAAAACAAACAAAAAACAAUAACAACAAAAAAGCACAUGGCCUGCUCAGAAUUCUAUGACUUUUAAAGAACAGAUAAAUUAAGAGUUCUCAAAUUAUUCCACAAGAAACAGAAUGACAUCACCCAAUUUAUUUUGUGAGGCCACAGUUACCCUGACACUCAAUGCAAAUUAAGAUGCAACUAAAAAGGAGAAUUACAGAACUUUCUCUAUGAACAUACAGGCACGGAUACUCAUAAAACACUUGCAAACAGAAACACACGAGGAAGAUCAACAACCAUGAUAAAGCAGGUUUUGUAUCAGAGUUGAAAAGAUAGUUCAUUAUACAAAAAUCAAUAAAUAUAAUCCACUUAAUGAAACAAACUGGAAAAAAGACAUAAUCAUUGCAUUACAUGCAGAAAAAGCUUUUGACAAAAUCCAACAUCAUUUCACCAUAAUAUGGAAAGAGUCUUCCUUAGAACUUUUCAUGAACCAAAAAUAAAUGACCUUUCCAAAGGAAUAACAUGAAGGAAAGAAAAUACCACAAAUAAGAAUGUCUCUUUUCCUCUAAGAAUUUCACAUUGCUUUGCGAGAUGUGAGACUCAUUCACACACAGCUAAGACACAUGAAAAGUUGUUUUCACAGGAAAUCUGAGGAGGGUCAAGGAAGACAGAAAACAACAACAAUAACAACAACAACCACAAACUAUCCUGACCCACAGAAUUGAGACUGCUGUAUAUCUCCACCAGGAGUUCUCCAAAAAAAAAAAAGCCCUGAGAACCGGAUCUAGGCAUUCCUACUGCAAGAUGUCCAUAGUCAUAGAACUCAAAUAUCAACAAACAAUGAAAUAAAAAAUAACAGUUUUCUACAGAUGCAUGGGUCCAAUGUCUUUCUUGAACCGAGAAGAUAUUUUUCUGAUGAAAAUGAAUAAUCAUAAUUAUUCAAAAGGUGCUUUCUAAACUUGUAUUAAUCUAUAAUGAGUUUUCUAUCAAAACAAAAACAAAAAACCAGUGUACCCUUAUAUUUGCCUCUCACAGCAUACAGAAAGUACUGGCUGGAACUUGUAAGUUCUCAAAGGAACUAUGGAAGAAUUGAGGUGCCUAUUAAUAUAUCAAUGUGGACAUUUUUGGCUAGGUGCUCUUUUGGGUCCUGUUCACUUUCUAGGCCAACUCCUUUAUUUUCUCUCCUCUUCCUCAAUACCAGGACCCAUUCUGCUCCUCUUAUGGAUAAGUUCAGUCUGGACCCUUCCAGAUGAACCUUUUCUCACUCAUAAUGGUAGCUAACUAUAUCAGUAGACCUGGGAGACUAGCUCUCUCCUGAGUUUCAGUGGUCAGAGUACUCUCUGCAGGUAAGCUCUCCUCUUGCAGGGAAGAUGUACAGAUAUCUGGUGUUCGAACCUGCCUCCUGGCAGAAGAUGAAGGCCUGAAACAGGGCCUGUCCCAAAAGCUGUGUAGCUUCUGUAGUCCACACUCUCACAUGCGCAGACUAGUCUCUGAGGGAUCUGGGAACCCAGAUGGCUUCCCCAGGUGAUCUGACAAAGCCCUCCUGGGUGAAGUGGACACCUCUCCUCUGGCAGGGAAGGUGCCCAGAUGUCUGGAGCCC